RNAcentral lists this ribosomal RNA (396 nucleotides) under Triticum aestivum (bread wheat). RNAcentral's name for it is "partial small subunit ribosomal RNA". The record is from RNAcentral. Lineage: Eukaryota; Viridiplantae; Streptophyta; Magnoliopsida; Poales; Poaceae.
AUGAAAAUAAUUUGUUGAAACUGACGAGGUCUGCGUCAGCCUUAGACAGUCCAAGAACUUGUGUGCCUUUCAAAGACACACCGGCCCAACGUUAUCUUUCUUUCUGAAACAAGGCAAAAUAAAGAGUAUGUUGAGAGUUUGCAUUAUCGUUUGGGUAUGAAAAAUAAUUUUACUAUUUCCGUGCCAGGCAAAGGAGGUGGAUUAGCUAUCUUUUGGGAUGACCUAUACACUUUGGAGCUGAACAAAUAUGGAGAACAUUUUAUUGAUAUGUACAUUUUUAAUGGUACUGGCACAAAGUGGAGGAACACCUUUGUCUAUGGGGAACCAAAGGCGAGCCAAAGGUAUGUUAUGUGGGAUUUGUUAAGGCGCAUAAAACCACUUGGGUCUGGGUCAUGA